This 679-nucleotide ribosomal RNA is filed under the name Arthrobacter sp. Its description in RNAcentral is "bacterial SSU rRNA". It matches the Rfam family "Bacterial small subunit ribosomal RNA", at positions 554 to 1228 of the family's 1533-position model. The record is from RNAcentral. Lineage: Bacteria; Bacillati; Actinomycetota; Actinomycetes; Micrococcales; Micrococcaceae.
UUGGGCGUAAGAGCUCGUAGGCGGUUUGUCGCGUCUGCCGUGAAAGUCCGGGGCUCAACUCCGGAUCUGCGGUGGGUACGGGCAGACUAGAGUGAUGUAGGGGAGACUGGAAUUCCUGGUGUAGCGGUGAAAUGCGCAGAUAUCAGGAGGAACACCGAUGGCGAAGGCAGGUCUCUGGGCAUUAACUGACGCUGAGGAGCGAAAGCAUGGGGAGCGAACAGGAUUAGAUACCCUGGUAGUCCAUGCCGUAAACGUUGGGCACUAGGUGUGGGGGACAUUCCACGUUUUCCGCGCCGUAGCUAACGCAUUAAGUGCCCCGCCUGGGGAGUACGGCCGCAAGGCUAAAACUCAAAGGAAUUGACGGGGGCCCGCACAAGCGGCGGAGCAUGCGGAUUAAUUCGAUGCAACGCGAAGAACCUUACCAAGGCUUGACAUGGGCCGGACCGGGCUGGAAACAGUCCUUCCCCUUUGGGGCCGGUUCACAGGUGGUGCAUGGUUGUCGUCAGCUCGUGUCGUGAAAUGUUGGGUUAAGUCCCGCAACGAGCGCAACCCUCGUUCCAUUUUGCCAGCGCGUAAUGGGCGGGGGACUCAUGGGAGACUGCCGGGGUCAACUCGGAGGAAGGUGGGGGACGACGUCAAAUCAUCAUGCCCCUUAUGUCUUGGGCUUCACGCAUGCUAC